GGAUCCUGGGAAGAGGCGUCUCCGAAGCCGCCAUCUUAGGAAGGGAAUCGGGGGGGCAAAACAGAUUUUGAGGGUGUGGACAAUUGCGUAAUAGGGGCAUUUCAAGCUCUUUUCGUUUGUAGCCAUUGUGGUGAGCUUGAGUAUGUCUUCCCACAAGACUUUCAAGAUCAAGCGGUUUCUCGCUAAGAAGCAGAAGCAGAACCGGCCCAUCCCGCAAUGGAUCCGCAUGAAAACUGGCAAUAAAAUCAGGUACAACUCCAAAAGGAGACACUGGAGGAGGACCAAGCUCGGCCUGUAGAGAGAAGCGGCUCCAAUCUUACCGGUACAACCCUGAAUCUUGUAUCAAACUCUCAAGCGCCAGAAUGGUCUCUUCCUACCAACCUGCCACAUUAUCAGGGCUGGAAUUCUGUCUUGUGCUGUGCAGUCUCCCCCCCUUUGUAAAAAUAUUUGUUAUUACAAAUAUUAAUGAAUUAAAAACUGAAUGGUGGAGGGGGGGAAAAUAGGGGAAUUUCAACACGUUCUUCGCCUCGCCCGUAUUCUGGCCGUCUGCAAAUGAAAGCUGUGCCUUGUCCAUCUCAGCCGGGCAACUUUUUCCCCGUUUCAAAACAUGCUUCUUAGUUAACACCCCCUCCCCACACCGUCCAAAGGCUCAGAGCCCAGACAGCUGCUCCACUGAUCCUCCUCAAGAGAAGGAAGCAGUUUUUCCAUCCCCACCCAGGUCAUUGCACAUUAGCCACACACUCUCGGCUCAUCACGGCUGUCUGCUGUGGGGAGACCGCGUCGUGAUUCCCCAAAGACUCCGUCAACGUGUCCUUAAGGCUCUGCACGUUGGCCACCCGGGAAUAGUCAAAAUGAAGGCGUUGGCUCGGUGUUAUGUCUGGUGGCCUAACAUGGACGAUGCCAUCACUGCCUGGGUUUCCACCUGUCAAGCGUGCCAAGAGUCGAGGCCUGCGCCACCGGCAGCUAAGGGACACACCUGGGAGACGCCCAAGACACCCUAGUCGAGGGUGCACAUAGAUCUGGCCGGCCCCUUUCGCGGCCGGACCUUUAUGGUAGUGGUGGACGCCUAUUCCAAAUGGCUGGAGGUGGCCCUGAUGCCCUCCACCACUACCGAGGCCGUCAUCCGGGUGCUGCGAGGCCUCUUUGCGACGCAUGGGUGUCCUGAUGUCCUUGUCUCCGAGAAUGGACCACAAUUCACAUCAGGCACUUUUGAGCGGUACCUUUUGGGACUGGGCAUCCACCAUGCCCUAACAGCACCAUUUCAUCCAUCCAGCAACAGGAGAGAAUGGUGCGCUCGGCAAAAGAGGCACUGGGGCACCUGGACCGGGGAGACUAGCACGAGGGGGUUGCCGAAUACUUGUUCGUGCAACACAUCACCCCUCAUGCGGCCACAGGGCAGAGUCCUGCCGAACUGCUUAUGGGCCGCCGCCUCAGGUCCCCGCUUGACCGGCUGCACCCAGACUUUGCCGUGGCCGAACCCCCAGGCUGUGCCAACGCGCCACGGUCAUUUGUUCCAGGAAACCAGGUCUUUGCCCAGAACUUUGUGGGGGACAUUCCUUGGGUGCCAGCCACAGUACUGGGAGUCACGGGACCUCGCUCGUACCAGGUGGCACUCGAAGAUGUAAGCUUGUGGCGCCGGCACAUAGACCAGCUUAGGCGCAGGGUUGGGGACUUUGACACUACCGUGGUGCCCCCAACUGCGCUCGUGGCUCCGGAACAGACACAUACAGAUGGUGAGGCUCCACCUACACCUCUCUCACAGACUGUGGGCGUGGAGCCGAACCAAGCCACUUAAGAGGGUCUGCCGGACUUCCCACAGACUCAGACCACUGCCAUGCCUGACAUUCCGCCAACUCCACUCGCAGAGGUUACACCCACAGCAGCGGAUCCAGGGGACUUGGUUUCAACGCCACCUAGGGUUGCGCCACAGCCUCAGCAAGAAUCGGGCAGCCCACCGGACUGGACUGCUCCCCGGCAGUCUGGCAGAGUUUCCAAGUGCCCAACUUAUUUAAAGGACUAUGUUGUUGAAUAUGUAACACUGUUGGUCUAAGUAUGUGGAAGUAUGUGAAAUGUAACCGAUAUGCUUUUGUGCCUAAUUGAACCAUUACAUGUAGUGCUGUAUAUAAGGAAACCAUUACGAUUGUAACUAACGCUUUAUCUCGGUGGGGAGGGGUGUUAUGUACUGAAGUUCUCACCCUGGGCCGGCAGGGGGAUACUGUAGAUAGUUAUGCAAAUGAAGGAUCAAAAGUGACGUUCAGUGAUUGGAUGGAUACUGUAGAUAGUUAUGCAAAUGAAGGAUCGAAAGUGACGUUCAGUGAUUGGAUAGUUUUAGAAAGUUGUUACAGUAACAUGCUAUUGGAGCUCUAUAUAAGCAGGCUGACUGAGCCCUUCAGUUCAGUUCUGUUCUGGCCUCUGAAUAAAGAAGAGCUGUUUGAAGAAUUGCUGUGUCGUCUGAUAUACUUCAGUACAUAACAAUCAGAUGUAUAAAGUGUUGUCUUGAGUUGCAGGUACAUACUUACACUAGGGAAGCGAGGGAGAGAGAUUGUAAACAGUGUGAUCAGAAGGAAAUGAAAUGCCAUAAACUACAGAUAAUAAUAAUAAUUUAUUAUUUAUACCCCGCCCAUCUGGCUGGGCUUCCCCAGCCACUCUGGGCAGCUUCCAAAAAAAUAUUAAAAUACUAUAAUACAUCAAACAUUAAAAGCUUCCCUAAACAGAGCUGCCUUCAGAUGUCUUCUAAAAGUCUGGUAGUUGUUCUCUUUGACAUCUGGUGGGAGGGCGUUCCACAGGGAAGGCGCCACUACUGAGAAGGCCCUCUGCCUGGUUCUCUGUAACUUGGCUUCUCGCAGUGAGGGAACCGCCAGAAGGCCCUCGGUGCUGGACCUCAGUGUCCGGGUAGAACGAUGGGGGCGGAGACGCUCCUUCAGGUAUACUGGACCAAGGCCGUUUAGGGCUUUAAAGGUCAGCACCAACACUCUGAAUUGUGCUUGGAAACGUACUGGGAGCCAAUGUAGGUCUUUCAAGACCGGUGUUAUGUGGUCUCUGCAGCUGCACUAACAGUGGCAUUCACAUCAAAACAGUACAGUACAGUACAGUAGUAUCUCGGCUCCUGGAUGUCUUGGGAGUUGAACGUUCUGGCUCCCGAACGAUCGAAAACCGGAAGUGAGUGUUCCAGUUUUUGGAAGCCAAACGUCUGCCGUGGCUUCCACUAUUGUUUCUGGUGUGCCUGCACAAUCGGAAACCAAUUGGAAGCUGCGCCUUGGUUUCUGAACAUUUCGAAGUUGAACAGACUUCUGGAACGCAUUCCAUGUGACUUCCAAAGUAUGACUGUAAUGGAUAACACAGGCGAGCUAAUGAACACACGUAGUUUAAUAAAAACAAACCUACUGUGCCAAUUCAGACAGCAAAUUACAGCACUGAAAUGGUGCUCUCAAUGGUUUCAUGCCACAGUCUCUCCCUUUAAUUUUUCUUUGGCUACCUUAAGGUCAGUUACAGAGGGGCUGAUAGAUGGUAAUGUGUAUGUAUACAAAAGUAUACAUAAGUUCUGCAUUAUUGGCCUGAGGCUCCUGUGUUUUUAGGCUGUCAGGUGUAGGGCAGGUGGGCAUGACUUGGCCUGGAAGGCCUGGUUAGGCUCAUAAGGCCAGAGGUUUCCCACUCCUGCAUUAGUGAGUGAGGCAGUCAUCUCAGGCAGCAGAAGGUGAGCUGCAGAUAAUGGUAGUGAGAUGUUGGAGGACAGAGCUGUGCUCUCCUUGAGUUAGUCUGCUGCCCUCAAAUGUGGUGGAGAACAGUGUCCCCUUGUCAGUACUGAAAGAAGGUUCAGCUGCCAGUAUCGUAGGUUUCUGUAUGUGGAAUGGAGCAAAGGCGCCAUCUUGUUCUUUGCAUGUCUUCAGCCAGGCCAAGCCACUAUUUGUAGUUUCUUAAGAAGGGACCAGGCCAAACAUUUAAUAUAAAAUGGGAUUCUCUGUUAUAUAUCCAAGCUUAUUGGACUUGAUUUAGGAAUCUUUUUAUAGGCUGUUGGGUAAAAUGAAGCUUCCAGUCCUAUAAGUGUUAACUGCAAGAAAGCCUGAUAGAACACAAACAAAGGAUUGGACAGUGUAUGUGUGUGUGUGCGCACACACGCACGCACGCAAACACACACCUAGAUCCUUGGCAACCCAGCACAGAUUUAUGUCAGUGUAAAAUGGUAUACUAGAAUUGUAUUGUGCAUGCAUUUUUAAUAUGCCAAACAAAAAGUUACCUUAAACAGAGGAAAGGGUGAAGCAUUUCUAAAAGCGUUGCCAAAUGAGUCUGAAUGUUGCAAAAUGAGUCCUGUGAUGUGCAAGGAAAUAUUAAAGUGUAUCUGUUGCAAAGCAAGGCUCAUCAUAUUCAGUAUACCCAGGUAUGGGUGAACACACUUGCACCCUAUAUUGAUUUUGAAAUCUUUGUAAUUUCAAUAGGACUCUGAAACAAUGAAAAUGUUUCCUUUCUCCAAGGAGCCAAACAGUGAGCACAUGCAGUGGCUUUUGUAGGAAUUAAUGAUGCUUCUAAUUUUUAAUAGGUGGUGAAAGAACACCAUUUCAAGAAUCAUGACUCAGAGUGUAUAAAUAGCUUUUCUGAGAGCACAACAAAAGCAUUGUCACUGUCUUGCACAGCAGAGUCAGAGUACAUGACAGUUUAAUGGGUGUUUAGUGCAAUAAAUAGCUAAAUGCAUGUGUACCAUGAAGCAUGUGUUACUUUCCAUGAGUUUCAGAGGAGCUGGGGAUUUUUGUUGCUACUUUCAGUCUAUAAUAAUAUUAAAAUAUUCUCAAAAAUACUUGUAGGCAACCUGCAAAUAAGGCAUUGCAAAUGUGGGGAGACAGCAGGGCCUUGUCAACACUGACCCCAUUUUUCUGGAUAUUUCUGAAGCUCUAACAUGCAUGUUAACGUUAAUAGAAGCUGCAGUUUGUUUACCUUUGAAUAACUCCAAAUGAACUCAACGGGACACAAAUAGGAAUGGCUGUGAGUUACUUGGGGAAAAAUUUUGCUUGCUGUUAGUAGCUGAAAGCAAGGAGUGGGGGAAAUUCCUUUGCCCAUGGAAGCUUGCCAGGCUCCAAGUUUGUAUGCUGGUGGUAGGCAGGGGGGCCAGCUCUUGGGGGUUCAGUUCUUUUGUGACCCCAAAUAUUUUUGGAGUAGGGGCUGGGCACUGGAGUAGGGGCUGGAGUAGGGGCUGAGAGAGAGAGAGAGAGAGAGAGAGAUGUUAGCUAGUGGUGCAUUAUUUUAGUUUUGAUCUGUUUUUUAUUGUAUAUACAGUAUGUUAUGCUCUGAUUUCCCCCCAUGAAAUCGCAGUACAUAUAAUUGUUUUUAUAAAUAAAUUGUGUGUGCAUGUAUUGGG
Molecule: long non-coding RNA, 5347 nt
Filed under: Podarcis lilfordi (Lilford's wall lizard)
Lineage: Eukaryota; Metazoa; Chordata; Lepidosauria; Squamata; Lacertidae
Source: RNAcentral